This 203-nucleotide unclassified non-coding RNA is filed under the name Hevea brasiliensis (rubber tree). Lineage: Eukaryota; Viridiplantae; Streptophyta; Magnoliopsida; Malpighiales; Euphorbiaceae. The record is from RNAcentral.
GCAACAUAGAUUAUCUUGAAUUCAUCCUUAUGCAAGUAACCAUCUCUAAAGUGAUGUUGGAUCUCAUGUAGAAUAGCAAUCAUAGCUAUGUUUGUUUUCCCAGCCCCAGUGGGGGCACACACUAGUAUGUUUUCGUUGCUAUUGUACGUAGUAUGGUAAAUUCUGCUCUGAAUACGAUUGAGACUCUUAUAGCCAUGAAAAGC